GCCACAUCCACAGGGCUGGAGCUUUGGGCCUGAGACUCAGGACCUAAAGUUUCCUUUUAGAGUCGGUCCUGGGGAUGCACAUGUGGAUUAAAUUAGAGCAAUAUGUUUUUCUAACAGCAUCUUGGCUGAAAAGCCAAGCAGAUAAAUGGAAACAAACACAGCUUUAUGUGAAUGAAAAGGGGCUGACGAGGCAGCCACUUCUGCCUGAAGCGCCACAGCCAGCAGGGUUGCCCUCCUGGGGUCUCCCCCUCCUCCCGCUUCCCCCUCCAGCCCUGACCCUGGAAGCAUUCACCAGAGGGCUCCUCAAGGCCCCUCACCCAGCCUCUGCCCUGGCUGAACUGGCUUCCUGCCCAUCUCCAAACCCGAUUUGUGCUGCCCACUCUUGACCACAGUCAUCACCUAUGCUGUGCUCUCUGUGCAGUGUCUUAAGAAUCUGAAUUUAUAUUAAAAAUGUGAAAGUGCCAAACCUCAAAGCAAGUCCGUGGAGCCUAAAUAAGUGGAAUGGGAGUGGAGAAGAAACACGGAGGCGAGGUUGUGAUGUGGCGUGGCGCAGGAGGCCCUGUGGGCCUGCUCAUCUGGAAUUCUGCAGCGCGGUUGUGUGGGAUCACAACGCUUUCCGGCACUUGUUCAUAUCUUAUUGCCACGGGUGAGACGGGAAGCCAGCAGCAGCAUCCCACACAUUCAAAAGACCUGCAUUGCUGGUGGACGGCUUGGACCGGGUCUCUGUUGAGAAGUCCCAGUCAGGGGGAAGGGCUUAUCGCCCAGCAGGUCCCCCUUUUAUCUCCAUAAAGUGGGGACCCCCUGUCUCAGGGUCCUGCUAAGCACCUCCCUUUCUGGGGCAGUUUUUGUAGCUUGCUUUUCCACCAUCUCUCUCUCUAUAUAUAUAUAUAAAUGUAUAUCGUGGUGAUGCGUCCAGAUCUAGGUUAUUCAUUUUAAUUCCUGAAUAUAUUUCAUCAUAUGACUGUACUACAUUUUUUCAUUGGAAUAUAAUUGCUUUAUAAAGUGUUAGUUUCUGCUGUACAAUAACGUGAAUCAGCUGUGUGUAUACAUGUACUACAUUUUAUUUGUCCAUUGCUAAAUUAAUGAAAGUUUAGGAUAGUCCCGGUUUGGUGCUAAUAGACAAUGCUGCAGGUAACACAUUUUAGAUUUCCAUGUGCACCCAGCCUUGGGCACUCUGGGGAAUGUAGCUAAAAGCAGAACUUGCAGGUGAUGGGUUAGUGCAUCUUCGACUUGCUGAGUUCUUGCCCAAUUCACCUCCAAAUUCUGCCGUGAAGGUACAGUCCCACAGGGAACACAAAACCGGUCCCAUUUCCAACAUCCUUGCCAACAGCUGAUGUCAUCAGAAGAUUGUUACAUUUUGCCAUUCUUAUUUAUGUUGACCUAUUUAAUAGUAAGCUUGAAUAUCUUGUCACAUAUUUAUGGACUUCUUUUUUUCUCACCUAUGAUUUGCCUGAUGAUAUCCUGACGUUUCUAUUAGAUUAUUCAUAUUUUUCUUAUUUAUAACAGUUUGCUAAAUACUCUGGAUAUGAUUUUUGUUGUUGUUGUUAUAGGGGUUGUAAAUAUUUCCUCCAAGCUUGUGGACUGUGGGUUUUCUUUUGACUGGACUGUGGCUUUUUUUGUUUAUUUUGGUUUGGUUUUUAACAUUGCUAGUGGUGUCUUUUUGAUGUGCAGAACUUUAAAAUUUUAAUGUGGUAAAAGUCUCUCUUUCUUUUGUGGUUGGUAAUUUUUCUAUUUUAUUCAAAAAAUCCUUCUGUAACCUCAGUGACAUAAAAAUAUUUUCCUAUAUUUUUCUUAAUUCAAAUGGAUUGAGGCAUAAUUUACACACAAUAAAACGCACCCAUUUGAAGUAUAGUGCCUGCCGCAUUUUGACAAAUGUAUACGACCAUGUUGGAGAAGGCAAUGGCACCCCACUCCAGUACUCUUGCCUGGAAAAUCCCAUGGACAGAGGAGCCUGGAAGGCUGCAGUCCAUGGGGUCACUAAGAGUCGGACACGACUGAGUGACUUCAUUUUCACUUUUCACUUUCAUGCAUUGGAGAAGGAAAUGGCAACCCACUCCAGUGUUCUUGCC
This is a long non-coding RNA of Bos taurus (domestic cattle), 2069 nucleotides long. Lineage: Eukaryota; Metazoa; Chordata; Mammalia; Artiodactyla; Bovidae. The record is from Ensembl.